Molecule: ribosomal RNA, 594 nt
Filed under: Triticum aestivum (bread wheat)
Lineage: Eukaryota; Viridiplantae; Streptophyta; Magnoliopsida; Poales; Poaceae
Description: partial small subunit ribosomal RNA
Source: RNAcentral
AUGUCAUCCAUGAUAUAUGAGCUUGUGCACUUUCUUAGCAAAUUUGUUGUGAUCUUCAUUGAUGGCAUAUUCAUACAUCAUGAUCAUAUUGCCCAUCAUCAAUUGCAUGAUCACAUACUCAUCUUGAGCAUCCAUUGCCAUAUUCAUGCUAUUGAUAAACCGUCUCACUAUGACAUCAUUUUGCACCGUGGUUGCAUUGAUCGUAUUCAGAACACAUUUGUGUGUAUAAUGAAUGCUUUUGCUCCCAUGAAUGCUUUGCAUACCAUUCCAUCUCUUUUGGAUAAGCUUCAUGCACCUUGUCAUGAUAAAUCUUGUUGCACAAACUCUUUCUUACAUGAUGGACACUUUGUGUACGCUAACCAUUGUAUUUUCGAGUGUCGUUUGUGUUUGCUUUUCUUGCAUAUAUACCACUCCGGCGACAACUUGGAGUACUUGGAUGGCGCAAUGUCUUCAACUCCGUCCACAACAACCGUUCCCAUGGUGAUGAGGAUCACGAUCCAAGGUCGGAUCUUUCCCAAGGGAGGGGAGAUGAUGCGGAGCAUCCUACGAUCAUCCCCAUGUACACUCGAGCAUACGCCAUUGGACACAAGGUGA